UACAGAGGUCUCAAGCGUUGUUCGGAUUCAUUGGGCGUAAAGGGCGCGUAGGCGGUCUGACAAGUCUGAUGUGAAAUCUCUGGGCUCAACCCAGAGUCUGCAUUAGAAACUGUCGGGCUUGAGUAUGGGAGAGGUGCGUGGAAUUUCCGGUGUAGCGGUGAAAUGCGUAGAUAUCGGAAGGAACACCUGUGGCGAAAGCGGCGCACUGGACCAUAACUGACGCUGAGGCGCGAAAGCUAGGGGAGCAAACAGG
Molecule: ribosomal RNA, 253 nt
Filed under: uncultured bacterium
Lineage: Bacteria
Description: partial 16S ribosomal RNA
Rfam family: Bacterial small subunit ribosomal RNA
Source: RNAcentral